GCUGGGCGUGGUGGCGCAUGCCUGUAGUCCCAGCUACUCGGGAGGCUGAGGUGGGAGGAUCGCUUGAACCCAGGGGCUGGGGGCUGCCGGGAGCUGGGAUCGCGCCACUGCACUCCAGCCUGGGUGACAGAGCAAGACCCUGUCUCAA
Molecule: unclassified non-coding RNA, 148 nt
Organism: Macaca fascicularis (crab-eating macaque)
Lineage: Eukaryota; Metazoa; Chordata; Mammalia; Primates; Cercopithecidae
Rfam family: Metazoan signal recognition particle RNA
About the family: The signal recognition particle (SRP) is a universally conserved ribonucleoprotein. It is involved in the co-translational targeting of proteins to membranes.
Source: Ensembl